Long non-coding RNA from Sycon ciliatum, 1763 nucleotides. RefSeq lists it as uncharacterized. NCBI's taxonomy places the organism in Eukaryota, Metazoa, Porifera, Calcarea, Leucosolenida, Sycettidae. The transcript has 4 exons. The record is from RefSeq and is a predicted model, not a curated record.
AGCAGAAUCGUACUACUGUCACUUCUACAACAAUGGUUUUCGACUACACUGGUCAGAGAUAUGAUAUACCAUGUAAUACUGUGGGUUCAUCAGGUAUGAAUGUCACUUGGACAUCCACUUUAGAUCUUAAAACAAAGAUGGUGAACACAAUGAAUGGAAUAUCUCAAAAUGGACUGUUGGAAUACGUGAACUCUACUUUCAGCUUCAUGGGAAAUGAUUCCAGUAUUAUGCUUACCAGAGAUAACCCAGCUGGUGUGCGGUUCAAUGUGACAUGCACUACAGCAUACAACACCAGUUUUAAUUGUAGAUUUGCCGUAAAUACUUCUGCAAGUGAUAAGCAGGUACCCCAGGAUAUACUGGACCGAUGUGAUAGAGCAGUCAAGUCUUUGUCAACAACGUACUCCAUCAGCAUUCAAGGCAGUAUGGGCAAUUAUCCCACACUGGAACCAGAUAACAUACAUUCAUCAAAUCAAUGCCAGCAAUCGAGGACAUCUGAGAGUUUACCGAAGACACCAGGUCGAUCUGGCUCUGGGGUGAAUCUGGGAACAAUAUUUGCAAUAGCAACAGCACUAGGAAGACCAGCAGGAAUUUUUUGUCUUUGUUGCCUGCAUGUUUUUUUAAUCUGAAAGCGAAACGGCCUUCGAUUGGCAAUUAAACAGGCUGGAGUGAAGGAACGAGGAUAAACAUGUCUAAACCUGGUACUCAAUAUAAUAGCACGCGAGAUGGGAAUGAAACAAGUGCUGCUAACACUGCUUAAAGAUCCAGCCAGUGUGUUACAUGAACAGUGGAACCCACUUAUAAGUACUUUAGAUAUACAACUGCUUUGUACGCUAUUUUUCCUACGCAUGCAUUUUCCAACUACCAGCGUAACUACAUUUUGUGCUAAACAUUAAAUUUUCUUAGUUUAUCACGGUGGAAGCAGCCCUUCUCUCUUCAUACAGUUCCUCGAGAAUCACGCAUUCUAUUCUGUUGCUAAAAGUAGAUGUAAAACGCAUGCAGAUGUUUGCUUCAAAAUUGUUCAUCCCAGAAAUGUUUCUCACGUUCAUAUCCAAUCGCUAUAUUAGGUGCUGUUUUAUUUAUGCAUGUCUGGUUUGCUUCAUUUCUAUUUAUGGCAAGCAAGGACAUUUAAGAAAGCUAUUUGAGAUUUUUGUUACUAUUUUUGGUUCUUGUUUACUUACCUACGUAUAUGUUCAAGGGACUGGAUAUCGUCAUUUGAAGAGCGAGAUACAUGCCUCACUGUGCAACCCUUCGUUUAACUUAGAGGAGAUUAAGGUUUUCUGUUAGGCUUUCUGUUUUCAUUGAGAGAUAUGUUGGUAAGGUAUUUCAUUUGCGAGAAGAAAAGGUUUCUAUUUUACUACACAGCUAGGCUUAGUUAUCUUGCAUAUUCAUCCAAAAUUUCAUUGCAGUAUGGUUAUUAUGUCCAGGACUCAAAAGACGUGUAUUAACAUUAUUAUCUUUAUCAUCUACAUAUAUUUCAUGUCCGAUGGCGGCCUAUAUUCUCGUUUUUCCUUCAUUACCUUGGCACAUGUUAUUGCGGCUGGAUAUCAUUUUCACUAAAUUUAGAGGAGAUAAAGAUUUUCUGUUAGGUUUUCUGUUUUCAUUUAGAGAUAUGUUGAUGAAGUAUUUGAUUUGCGAGAGCAAAACGUUUAUAUUUUAUUGCACAGCUAGGAUCAGUAAGUGAGAUUAUGCUCUUUAUGCCUUAAAUUAGGAUUCAUAAUCUUCAGUAUUUGUCCUGGAUUUGAUUGCAGUGUGCGUAUGGCGUC